AAAUAGAUACCCCGGUAGUCCACGCCGUAAACGAUGAGUGCUAAGUGUUAGAGGGUUUCCGCCCUUUAGUGCUGAAGUUAACGCAUUGAGCACUCCGUCUGGGGAGUACGGCCGCAAGGCUGAAACUCAAAGGAAUUGACGGGGGGCCCGCACAAGCGGUGGAGCAUGUGGUUUAAUUCGAAGCAACGCGAAGAACCUUACCAGGUCUUGACAUCCUCUGACAACCCUAGAGAUAGGGCUUCUCCUUCGGGAGCAGAGUGACAGGUGGUGCAUGGUUGUCGUCAGCUCGUGUCGUGAGAUGUUGGGUUAAGUCCCGCAACGAGCGCAACCCUUGAUCUUAGUUGCCAUCAUUCAGUUGGGCACUCUAAGGUGACUGCCGGUGACAAACCGGAGGAAGGUGGGGAUGACGUCAAAUCAUCAUGCCCCUUAUGACCUGGGCUACACACGUGCUACAAUGAACAGUACAAAGAGCUGCAAAGACCGCGAGGUGGAGCUAAUCUCAUAAAAACCCGUUCUCAGUUCGGAUUGU
RNAcentral lists this ribosomal RNA (529 nucleotides) under uncultured bacterium. RNAcentral describes it as "bacterial SSU rRNA". It matches the Rfam family "Bacterial small subunit ribosomal RNA", at positions 776 to 1301 of the family's 1533-position model. The record is from RNAcentral.